RNAcentral lists this ribosomal RNA (468 nucleotides) under uncultured bacterium. RNAcentral's name for it is "partial 16S ribosomal RNA". It matches the Rfam family "Bacterial small subunit ribosomal RNA", at positions 28 to 507 of the family's 1533-position model. The record is from RNAcentral.
GACGAACGCUGGCGGCGUGCUUAACACAUGCAAGUCGAACGGAAAGGCCCUGCUUUUGUGGGGUGCUCGAUUGGCGAUAGGGUGCGUAACACGUUUGUAACCUGCCCUUUUCUUUCGGAUAUCUUCACGAAACUGGGGCUAAUAUCGGAUAGGAUCUCCUGCUGCGUGGUGUGGGUUGGAUAGUUUCGGCGUUUGGAGAUGGACUUGCGGCUUAUCAUCUUGUUGGUGGGGUAGUGGCUUACCAAGCGAUUGACGGGUAGCCGUCCUUAGAAGGUUAACGGGCACAUGGGUACUAAGAGACGGAGCAGACUCCUACGGGAGGCAGCAGGGGGGAAGAUGGCACAAUGGGCGGAAGCCGGAGGCAGAAACGCCGCGGGCGGGAUGACGGCCUUAGGGGUGUAAACCGCUGUCGCCUGUGACGAAGCGGGAGUGACGGUAAUGGGUAAAGAAGCACCGGCUAACUACGUG